This 615-nucleotide long non-coding RNA is filed under the name Mus caroli (Ryukyu mouse). RNAcentral's name for it is "lncRNA (MGP_CAROLIEiJ_G0003097.1)". The record is from RNAcentral. Lineage: Eukaryota; Metazoa; Chordata; Mammalia; Rodentia; Muridae.
GAAUGGUCUGCUUGGAACCUGAGCAGCACUGACUUCUGCAGAAGACUGAGAUGGAGACGCCCCCCAGUGUCCUGUUGCUCCUGCAGUCUGAACUUCCCAACAGCCCAUCUUUGGUUUAAAAAGUCUUUGUAAAGUUAACAUCCUUCCUACCGGAAUGUCCUGCACCUCCCUGUCUUUGGGACUCGGGUUUACUUGCAGAGAUCUUCUGCGGAAGACAACCUUCUUUUUGAUCUUUAGGCACAAAGGCAGGAGGCCCAUGGCCUUCCUCCUGCUCACUUGACUUGAGGAGAGCUGUCCCCCUUCGAGCUUUAGGGAGAUGACCCAGACAGUGAAGAACUACUUGCCAUACAAACACGAGGAUCUGAGUUCAAACUGAAGCACCAUGAAGAUGAAGAAAAAAGCUCUGUCUCGUGGCCUGCAACCCCAGUGACAGGGAAGCAGACGGAAGAAGCCCAGCCAGUCUAGCAAAAUAACAAGCUCAAGGUUCAAGCCUACAAACAGAAGUGAAGCAGUGGCGGGGGCAGCAUCAAUAAAGGUAGCAGAGGAAAGAAAGAAAAAAGAAUCAUCGGCUACUAGAAGUGUCACAUUAAAUGUCACAGGGACUGUGUUAAAUUG